Phrynosoma platyrhinos (Desert horned lizard) is the source of this 74-nucleotide non-coding RNA. Lineage: Eukaryota; Metazoa; Chordata; Lepidosauria; Squamata; Phrynosomatidae. The record is from the annotation of a GenBank genome assembly.
GAUCCAGUGUGGUGUAGUGGUCUGAGUGCUAGAUUAUGACUCUGGAGAUCAGGGUUCGAUUCCCUGAUGGAGCA